This 24-nucleotide microRNA is filed under the name Schmidtea mediterranea. Its description in RNAcentral is "sme-miR-2173-3p". The record is from miRBase by way of RNAcentral. Lineage: Eukaryota; Metazoa; Platyhelminthes; Tricladida; Dugesiidae.
UACAUGUACAUAUAAGUUGAAUUC